AGUCCUGUAGCUCAGUGGUGAGAGCACUCGCCUCACAAGCGAGAGGACCUGGGUUCGAUUCCCAGCGGGGCGA
Molecule: transfer RNA, 73 nt
Filed under: Callorhinchus milii (elephant shark)
Lineage: Eukaryota; Metazoa; Chordata; Chondrichthyes; Chimaeriformes; Callorhinchidae
Description: tRNA-Val (CAC) (tRNA-Val-CAC-25-1)
Rfam family: tRNA
About the family: Transfer RNA (tRNA) molecules are approximately 80 nucleotides in length. Their secondary structure includes four short double-helical elements and three loops (D, anti-codon, and T loops).
Source: Rfam by way of RNAcentral